AGUCAUGAACAUGUUCUCUGUGGCUGACCGCUGAUACUGCAGCUUCGAGGUGAAGCUCUCUCCCCUCGUCUGUAGCUCCUCCUACACACACACACACACACACACACACGCACACACACACACACACGAAACAAAUCCAUAAACAAGUGCAUUCAAUAGAUCAUAAAGUAGAGUCAUUUAUGCUGUAUUAAAUAUAUACACUGUAUAGAAAAUAUAAAAUGAUGCCUAAUAUUUUUGUAAUAGUUGUUAGUCAACAAAAGAGCCUCUCUGUAAAUGCAACAGGACUGCAAAAGAAAAAACAAAGCAGCGACCAGUUAUAUUAAAGCGCAGAAUAAAACUAAGACAAACCUGUAUUCAUGGAAAUGACAUGACUUUAAGGCUUAACCAAGAUAAGUGGAAAAACAGUUUGGUCAAUAGCGAUGGGAAGGAAAGACAUCAUUGUAAAAUUUGUUUAUAAACAAAACACUAAAGAUUCAUCUAUAAAAGAAUUAAAAUAAAAACUCAUACAUAUAUAGAUUUAUUUUAUAAAGCAUCUUAUUCCUGUGGUAACAAACCUGUAGCGUAUCAGACUUCAGCAAUGUGUGUACGAGGUCCAAGCUGAAUUUCAAACACAUGGUUCUCUCUGCACCUGUAAACAAAGCAGAGGGGCAAAUUUCUAUAUUUAUAAUAAAUAAAUCUAUUCAUGAUAGAUUAAUAUAAUCAGUGAUUAGACGAGGUUUAGAGAGGCCAAUCGUAACAAAACUCAGUGGACCGGUUUGACUCUUGACCCCAGAGGUCUGUGCUCAAUUUGAACCCAAACGGUCACUGGGAGGCACCAUCACAUUUUGUUUUGUGUGUGGAUUUUAUAUCAUGUGAUGUUUCCCACAAACACAAAUUCUUUAUAUCAAAUUGUAGAUCUCCUUAUUUUGAACAACUGUGCCUCAAGAACCACUGCUGUCAAUCAAAUUGCUGUCAACUCAUACAUACAUGUACACACAUUAUGCACACACACAUGAACUGGUGUGACUAACAGACCAGAUCUUGUGCGAUUUGUAAAAAUAAAUAAAUAAAAUUAUUAUAUGAGCACAGUGACAGGGGCACCUUCAUAAAGUUUUGCAUUAGGUCCCCAGAUGUUUAGGACAGUCACUGGAUUUAGUUUUACACAUUAAUUUAUAAAUAUCUAUUGAAUAAAAAUGAAGCCAUGUUUUUCAUAAUUGUUGUACAGAUAGGUGGCAAAUUAAAGGAACACCCUUAAGAAAGGAGUUAGGGGUGAGGGCAUUUUUCUGGCAUGGUUUGGGUCCACUUAUCCCCUUAAAGGAAAUGGUCACUGCACAUCAAUAUGAAGUGGUUUUGAAUGAUCACCUUUUUUCCUAUGAUGAAGCAUUUCUAUCCUGUUACAAACGGACAAUGCACCAUCCAUAGGGCACAAGGGGUCAAUGAAUGGUUAAUGAUGUGAAGGAUAUGUCAUGGCCUAACCUGAUCUCAACCCAGUUGAACAUCUAUGGGAGAUUUUAGACCAAUGUGUUAUGUCUAUGUGAUGUCUUCAUCAUUAUCGAGACAGCAAAUGAUGAUCUUUUGGAACAAUAGUGUACCAUUCCAGCAGUACAAUUCCAGAGACUUCUAGAAUCAAUGCCAAGGCACAUUGAAGCUGUUCUGGGAACACAUGGUGGCUUAACACUGUUUAUUAAGGUACUGUUAAUUUUCCCUUUAAUUUCUCACCCAUCUGUAUAAUGUCACUGUCACAUGGAAACCUAGUAUCUCCAGAUUUGAUCAUUUUUCCUUCUUUAAGUUCUUUAUAAAACAAUGCUAUUGGUCACCCUUUACAUUUAACUGUGGGUUUCACAAAUAUUUAACCAAUGAAAAGUAUUAAAAAGUGUUUGUGACUAAAUCUCAAUCUCUAAAACUUUUGGUAAAGCCUCAUAACUCCACCCCACCUACAUGUUGAAGGAUUGAUGUGCCACACAGCAGAGCUGAACGUAAACAGUGAUCUUGAAGUAACCACUUCAUCCUGCUCAGGAUUGAGGAGGAUCCAGAGUUUAUCCAGGAUUAAUGGGCAAGAGGCAAGAAUAUAUCUUACAUCAGUCCAUCACAGGAGACCACGGACACACACACAGACA
Molecule: long non-coding RNA, 2096 nt
Organism: Ictalurus furcatus (blue catfish)
Lineage: Eukaryota; Metazoa; Chordata; Actinopteri; Siluriformes; Ictaluridae
Exons: 2
Source: RefSeq, a predicted model, not a curated record